GGAAACAUUCAAGGUUCAGGUUGGAUGCGGCUCUGAGCAACCUGAUCUAGUGGAAGUUAUCCCUGCUCACUGCAGGGGAGAUCAGCAGAGCACA
Lepidothrix coronata (blue-crowned manakin) is the source of this 94-nucleotide long non-coding RNA. RefSeq lists it as uncharacterized. The record is from RefSeq and is a predicted model, not a curated record. The transcript is spliced from 3 exons. NCBI's taxonomy places the organism in Eukaryota, Metazoa, Chordata, Aves, Passeriformes, Pipridae.